GAAAACAUUGAGGAGUAUGGUGUUUGUUCCAGAUUCACUUCAGCACCCUCUGGAUUUACAGCUCUGCCCGGUUCUGUCAUCAUUGCAAGCAAGAUCCUAUUGUAUGAUAGCAACCAGUAACAGUCUCCAGACCAGAAUUUGAACACACACAUCCUUAAGGGAUUUGAGAGCGGAGAACAAAGCAGGAACAGCCCGUGGAAUUUGAUGCUUGUUGACUGGAGAAUGUAAUUGAUGAUGCAGGGGUCCUCACUCUCGCUGGGUUGGUAUGAAGGACUAGCAGCAUCCUUGGUACAUGUUGGCACUCAAAAUAUGUCAAUUCCUUUGCUCCCUUCCCUGUAAGUGGGACA
Molecule: long non-coding RNA, 347 nt
Organism: Suricata suricatta (meerkat)
Lineage: Eukaryota; Metazoa; Chordata; Mammalia; Carnivora; Herpestidae
Exons: 3
Source: RefSeq, a predicted model, not a curated record